GCUGGGAGUGUUAAUACUGUGUGUGUAGGGACACUGGUAGUACAGCUGUAGGAGUAUUAGUAUUGGUACUGCUGGUAUGGCAGGCUGGGAGUAUUAUUACUGUGUGUGUGUAGGGGCACUGGUAGUACAGCUGUGGGAGUAUUAAUACUGUGUGUGUGUGUAGGGGCACUGGUAGUACAGCUGUGGGAGUAUUGGUACUGCUAGUAUGGCAGGCUAGGAGUAUUAAUAUUGUGUGUGUAGGGGCACUGGUAGUAAAGCUGUGGUAGUAUUAAUAGUGUGUAUGUGUAGGGACACUGGUAGUAAAGCUGUGUGAGUAUUGGUACUGCUGGUAUGUCAGGCUGGGAGUAUUAAUACUGUGUGUAGGGGCACUGGCAGUACAGCUGUGGAAGUAUUAAUACUGUGUGUG
This is a non-coding RNA of Pelobates cultripes (western spadefoot toad), 406 nucleotides long. The record is from the annotation of a GenBank genome assembly. Lineage: Eukaryota; Metazoa; Chordata; Amphibia; Anura; Pelobatidae.